AGAACGAACGCUGGCGGCAGGCCUAACACAUGCAAGUCGAACGCCCGUAGCAAUACGGGAGUGGCAGACGGGUGAGUAACGCGUGGGAACGUACCUUUCGGUUCGGAAUAACCCGGGGAAACUCGGGCUAAUACCGGAUACGUCCGCAAGGAGAAAGAUUUAUCGCCGAAAGAUCGGCCCGCGUCGGAUUAGCUAGUUGGUGAGGUAACGGCCCACCAAGGCGACGAUCCGUAGCUGGUCUGAGAGGAUGAUCAGCCACACUGGGACUGAGACACGGCCCAGACUCCUACGGGAGGCAGCAGUGGGGAAUAUUGGACAAUGGGCGAAAGCCUGAUCCAGCCAUGCCGCGUGAGUGAAGAAGGCCUUAGGGUUGUAAAGCUCUUUCAGCGGGGAAGAUAAUGACGGUACCCGCAGAAGAAGUCCCGGCUAACUCGUGCCAGCAGCCGC
This 447-nucleotide ribosomal RNA is filed under the name uncultured soil bacterium. RNAcentral's name for it is "bacterial SSU rRNA". It matches the Rfam family "Bacterial small subunit ribosomal RNA", at positions 26 to 518 of the family's 1533-position model. The record is from RNAcentral.